RNAcentral lists this microRNA precursor (112 nucleotides) under Manihot esculenta (cassava). Lineage: Eukaryota; Viridiplantae; Streptophyta; Magnoliopsida; Malpighiales; Euphorbiaceae. The record is from RNAcentral.
UGUGGUGCAGCCAAGGAUGACUUGCCGGCUAGCUCUAGUAUACUAGUAUGCUUAUAUUUUUCCAUUUAACUGGCAACUAGAUGGUCGGCAAGUCAUCUCUGGCUACCCAACU